This 185-nucleotide small RNA is filed under the name Methylacidimicrobium sp. B4. Its description in RNAcentral is "6S RNA". It matches the Rfam family "6S / SsrS RNA". Rfam says of the family: E. coli 6S RNA was the first non coding RNA to be sequenced, but its function was unknown until recently. It consists of 184 nucleotides that fold into an extended hairpin structure with a large single-stranded internal bulge. The record is from RNAcentral. Lineage: Bacteria; Pseudomonadati; Verrucomicrobiota.
AUUUCCCUAUGCUGCUCGUGCUUGGAAUGCGCGCCUUUCCUCCGAUAAGUUCGAUUACGGGAGCCGGCAUUGCACGCGCUGCCGACGCCAGGCCUUCGCUGGAAGACGGAGGCACGCGGCAAGGCUCCCACUUGCCUGCAAAGUGGUCGAAAGGCCUCAUUUCCACACGGCAGCACGGGGACCUU